RNAcentral lists this unclassified non-coding RNA (326 nucleotides) under Cercozoa sp. RNAcentral's name for it is "partial contains small subunit ribosomal RNA, internal transcribed spacer 1, and 5.8S ribosomal RNA". The stretch from base 1 to 47 matches the Rfam family "Eukaryotic small subunit ribosomal RNA", at positions 1785 to 1831 of the family's 1831-position model. The record is from RNAcentral. Lineage: Eukaryota; Cercozoa.
AAAGUCGUAACAAGGUUUCCGUAGGUGAACCUGCGGAAGGAUCAUUAACACGUAUCCACGUAUCAACCCCUCUGUGAAAUCUUACUUCAGAAAGGUUUGGUCUUAGUGUGUUGCUCGCAUGGGUCCUAAUGAUGGAGGCAGCAAUGCCUAGGGCUCGAGUGACAUGUGUUUGACGUCCAACCGCCACUUUCCCAUCGUUGGCCCCUUUUUUAAUAACCCCUUGUACUCUUUUGUACUGAACCAAUUCUUCUGACGCUCUUAAUUGAGUGACGGAUAGAUAUUACGAAACUUAAGAACAACUCUUAGCAACGGAUAUCUUGGUUCCC